RNAcentral lists this transfer RNA (64 nucleotides) under Leofa pulchella. Its description in RNAcentral is "tRNA-Glu". The record is from RNAcentral. Lineage: Eukaryota; Metazoa; Arthropoda; Insecta; Hemiptera; Cicadellidae.
GUUUAUAUAGUUUAUUAAAACAUUUUAUUUUCGUUAAAAAGAAAACUUAUUGAGUUUAUAAAUU